GUGGCGAACGGGUGAGUAACACGUGGGUAAUCUGCCCUGUACUCUGGGAUAAGCCUGGGAAACUGGGUCUAAUACCGGAUAUGACCUUUCACCGCAUGGUGGGGGGUGGAAAGUUCCGGCGGUAUGGGAUGAACCCGCGGCCUAUCAGCUUGUUGGUGGGGUAAUGGCCUACCAAGGCGACGACGGGUAGCCGGCCUGAGAGGGUGACCGGCCACACUGGGACUGAGACACGGCCCAGACUCCUACGGGAGGCAGCAGUGGGGAAUAUUGCACAAUGGGCGCAAGCCUGAUGCAGCGACGCCGCGUGAGGGAUGACGGCCUUCGGGUUGUAAAGCUCUUUUGUCCGGGAAGAUAAUGACUGUACCGGAAGAAUAAGCCCCGGCUAACUUCGUGCCAGCAGCCGCGGUAAUACGAAGGGGGCUAGCGUUGCUCGGAAUCACUGGGCGUAAAGGGCGCGUAGGCGGACUCUUAAGUCGGGGGUGA
This 483-nucleotide ribosomal RNA is filed under the name uncultured bacterium. RNAcentral's name for it is "bacterial SSU rRNA". It matches the Rfam family "Bacterial small subunit ribosomal RNA", at positions 95 to 597 of the family's 1533-position model. The record is from RNAcentral.